This is a ribosomal RNA of 499 nucleotides. It matches the Rfam family "Bacterial large subunit ribosomal RNA", at positions 1829 to 2597 of the family's 2925-position model.
CGCCUCUUGAUAACAUAUAAGAGGUCUUGCCUGCCCAGUGACGCAAGUUUAACGGCCGCGGUAUUUUGACCGUGCAAAGGUAGCGUAAUCAAUCGUCUUUUAAAUGGAGACCUGUAUGAAUGGUAAAACGAAAACUCAACUGUCUCAUUCUUUCAGCCAAUGAAACUGAUCUCUCCGUGCGGAAGCGGGGAUGAACACAUAAGACAAGAAGACCCUGUGGAGCUUUAGAUUUCUGCUUACAUCUUAGAUUGGGGCGAUCACGGAGAAAAUAUACCCUCCACGAAGAAAAACAUAGUUAAGAGCCACAGCUCUAAACACUAAUACAUUUAACUCUAUGAACCGGCUUGCCGAUUAACGAACCUAGUUACCCCAGGGAUAACAGCGCAAUCCCCUUAAAGAGCACUUAUCACUAAGGGGGUUUACGACCUCGAUGUUGGAUCAGGACAUCCUAAUGGCGCACCAACUAUUAAGGGUUCGUUUGUUCAACGAUUAAAGUCCU